Molecule: unclassified non-coding RNA, 240 nt
Filed under: soil metagenome
Description: partial contains 5.8S ribosomal RNA, internal transcribed spacer 2, and large subunit ribosomal RNA
Source: RNAcentral
AACCAUAGAAACCUGCGGAGUACCUGCGGAAGGAUCAUUAUUGAAUUUUCCUAAAGAAAAAUUUUGUGUUGUUCUCUCGAAAGAGAGUGGUGCAAUACAAGAUUUUUCUCAAACAAACGAUCACAACUAAUAAUUGAAUUGAAUUGGUGGUUUGGCUUGAUAUUAUAACAACAAGUGUUUGCCUGAUAAUCAAGAUGAUUUGGAUUGGAGAAAGAAAUACAACUUUUAACAACGGAUCUC